This 1400-nucleotide ribosomal RNA is filed under the name Salmonella enterica. RNAcentral describes it as "partial 23S ribosomal RNA". It matches the Rfam family "Bacterial large subunit ribosomal RNA", at positions 931 to 2313 of the family's 2925-position model. RNAcentral also lists the same sequence under 1 other name. The record is from RNAcentral. Lineage: Bacteria; Pseudomonadati; Pseudomonadota; Gammaproteobacteria; Enterobacterales; Enterobacteriaceae.
CCGGCUUACCAACCCGAUGCAAACUGCGAAUACCGGAGAAUGUUAUCACGGGAGACACACGGCGGGUGCUAACGUCCGUCGUGAAGAGGGAAACAACCCAGACCGCCAGCUAAGGUCCCAAAGUCAUGGUUAAGUGGGAAACGAUGUGGGAAGGCCCAGACAGCCAGGAUGUUGGCUUAGAAGCAGCCAUCAUUUAAAGAAAGCGUAAUAGCUCACUGGUCGAGUCGGCCUGCGCGGAAGAUGUAACGGGGCUAAACCAUGCACCGAAGCUGCGGCAGCGACACUGUGUGUUGUUGGGUAGGGGAGCGUUCUGUAAGCCUGUGAAGGUGUGUCGUGAGGCAUGCUGGAGGUAUCAGAAGUGCGAAUGCUGACAUAAGUAACGAUAAAGCGGGUGAAAAGCCCGCUCGCCGGAAGACCAAGGGUUCCUGUCCAACGUUAAUCGGGGCAGGGUGAGUCGACCCCUAAGGCGAGGCCGAAAGGCGUAGUCGAUGGGAAACGGGUUAAUAUUCCCGUACUUGGUGUUACUGCGAAGGGGGGACGGAGAAGGCUAUGUUGGCCGGGCGACGGUUGUCCCGGUUUAAGCGUGUAGGUGUGUGUUCCAGGUAAAUCCGGUUCACUUUAACACUGAGGCGUGACGACGAGGCACUACGGUGCUGAAGCAACAAAUGCCCUGCUUCCAGGAAAAGCCUCUAAGCAUCAGGUAACAUCAAAUCGUACCCCAAACCGACACAGGUGGUCAGGUAGAGAAUACCAAGGCGCUUGAGAGAACUCGGGUGAAGGAACUAGGCAAAAUGGUGCCGUAACUUCGGGAGAAGGCACGCUGACACGUAGGUGAAGUGAUUUACUCAUGGAGCUGAAGUCAGUCGAAGAUACCAGCUGGCUGCAACUGUUUAUUAAAAACACAGCACUGUGCAAACACGAAAGUGGACGUAUACGGUGUGACGCCUGCCCGGUGCCGGAAGGUUAAUUGAUGGGGUCAGCGCAAGCGAAGCUCCUGAUCGAAGCCCCGGUAAACGGCGGCCGUAACUAUAACGGUCCUAAGGUAGCGAAAUUCCUUGUCGGGUAAGUUCCGACCUGCACGAAUGGCGUAAUGAUGGCCAGGCUGUCUCCACCCGAGACUCAGUGAAAUUGAACUCGCUGUGAAGAUGCAGUGUACCCGCGGCAAGACGGAAAGACCCCGUGAACCUUUACUAUAGCUUGACACUGAACAUUGAGCCUUGAUGUGUAGGAUAGGUGGGAGGCUUUGAAGUGUGGACGCCAGUCUGCAUGGAGCCGACCUUGAAAUACCACCCUUUAAUGUUUGAUGUUCUAACGUGGACCCGUUACCCGGGUUGCGGACAGUGUCUGGUGGGUAGUUUGACUGGGGCGGUCUCCUCCUAAAGAGUAACGGAGGAGCACGA